This is a long non-coding RNA of Beta vulgaris subsp. vulgaris (sugar beet), 703 nucleotides long. RefSeq lists it as uncharacterized. Lineage: Eukaryota; Viridiplantae; Streptophyta; Magnoliopsida; Caryophyllales; Amaranthaceae. The record is from RefSeq and is a predicted model, not a curated record. The transcript has 5 exons.
UGCACAAACUCGAAGGCAAAUCGCGAAAAAGAACCCGCUAAUAUAUCCCCACGAAAUCACGUUCUUUGUAUUUCACUUGUUCAAGACUUCAACUGCUCAUCUCACAGACUCAUACCCUCUUCGGUCCGCCAAACUCUUUCUUCAUUUCCGGUGAUUUGGUGAUGCUUCCGGCGACUUGGUGCUACUUCCGGCGAGAUCAUAACGGUUUUCAAGUGGUGAGGCGGGUGGAGGUCAAUGGCGAGGCUAGCGGAAAGUUUGGCGUCAAGGUAUGCACAUCAGAUGAUGCAUGCAAAUAUACGAGGGUUAGUGAUCUUUUUGUAUAUGAGCAGUUCCAUAGAGCUCCUGUGGAGUCUGUAGAAGUAGGAGACAUACAUAUGUGCUGUUUGUGGAAUUUGAGACAUUCAAAUUGGAGAGACAAUUGUUGAUAAAGUAUUUAGGAAACCAUUACCUGCAAUAAAGGUCGAGGAGCCUACUGUCAAGAUGGCGUUCUCAAUUAAUACGUCUCCAUUUGUUGGCCUUUGAGAGGAAAGCUAUAUGAAGUAUGGCAAGGCUUGGAUUUUGUGAAUUUCUUUGUAGAUGAUGGGUAGUGCUAAUUACUUUUUUUCUAAGACUUUCUUUGAAUUUUGUAAGAUAUUCAAGUUACGUCGGAUGUUUAAUUUGAAGAUUAUUCUAUAGUCCACCAGUUGUAUGUAAUUUGCUAUUC